CAUUUCACCUCCUUCAUCCGAGAUUACCCGCUGAACUUAAGCAUAUCAAUAAGCGGAGGAAAAGAAACCAACAGGGAUUGCCUCAGUAACGGCGAGUGAAGCGGCAAAAGCUCAAAUUUGAAACCCUCGGGAUUGUAAUUUGAAGAUUUGGCAUUGGAGAAAGCUAACCCAAGUUGCUUGGAAUAGUACGUCAUAGAGGGUGACAACCCCGUCUGGCUAACCGUUCUCCAUGUAUUGCCUUAUCAAAGAGUCGAGUUGUU
This 260-nucleotide ribosomal RNA is filed under the name Yarrowia lipolytica. RNAcentral's name for it is "partial 28S ribosomal RNA". It matches the Rfam family "Eukaryotic large subunit ribosomal RNA", at positions 1 to 274 of the family's 3401-position model. Lineage: Eukaryota; Fungi; Ascomycota; Dipodascomycetes; Dipodascales. The record is from RNAcentral.